This 253-nucleotide ribosomal RNA is filed under the name uncultured bacterium. RNAcentral's name for it is "partial 16S ribosomal RNA". It matches the Rfam family "Bacterial small subunit ribosomal RNA", at positions 524 to 776 of the family's 1533-position model. The record is from RNAcentral.
UACGUAGGGAGCAAGCGUUGUCCGGAAUCAUUGGGCGUAAAGCGCGCGUAGGCGGCCUCAUAAGUCCGUUGUGAAAGUCAAAGGCUCAACCUUUGAAAGCCGAUGGAUACUGUGAGGCUAGAGUCCGGAAGAGGCGAGUGGAAUUCCUGGUGUAGCGGUGGAAUGCGCAGAUAUCAGGAGGAACACCUAUUGCGAAGGCAGCUCGCUGGGACGUAACUGACGCUGAGACGCGAAAGCGUGGGGAGCAAACAGG